RNAcentral lists this ribosomal RNA (253 nucleotides) under uncultured bacterium. Its description in RNAcentral is "partial 16S ribosomal RNA". It matches the Rfam family "Bacterial small subunit ribosomal RNA", at positions 524 to 776 of the family's 1533-position model. The record is from RNAcentral.
UACGUAGGCAGCAAGCGUUGUUCGGAGUUACUGGGCGUAAAGGGUGUGUAGGCGGUCUUCUAAGUUUGGUGUGAAAUCUCCCGGCUCAACUGGGAGGGUGCGCCGAAAACUGGGAGGCUAGAGUACUGGAUGGGAGAGUGGAAUUCCUGGUGUAGCGGUGAAAUGCGUAGAGAUCAUGAGGAAGACCAGUGGCGAAGGCGGGUCUCUGGACAGUUCCUGACACUGAGGCACGAAGGCCAGGGGAGCAAACGGG